CAUGAGUUGCAAAGACUCCCUAACCAUUGUGAACCUACCUAUACCUGUUGCUUCGGCGGGGGGCCAGCUGCCCCCCGGCCUUCCCCGCUGGGAGCCCCGCCGGAGGCAUUACCAAACUCUGUAAUUUAGUGGCCUUCUCUGAGUAUCUUUAUUGAAUAAGUCAC
Molecule: unclassified non-coding RNA, 164 nt
Filed under: soil metagenome
Description: partial internal transcribed spacer 1
Source: RNAcentral